RNAcentral lists this signal recognition particle RNA (299 nucleotides) under Ovis aries (sheep). Its description in RNAcentral is "Metazoan signal recognition particle RNA (ENSOARG00000023417.1)". It matches the Rfam family "Metazoan signal recognition particle RNA". From Rfam's summary of the family: The signal recognition particle (SRP) is a universally conserved ribonucleoprotein. It is involved in the co-translational targeting of proteins to membranes. Lineage: Eukaryota; Metazoa; Chordata; Mammalia; Artiodactyla; Bovidae. The record is from RNAcentral.
GCCGGGCACGGUGGCGCGCGCCUGUAAUCCCAGCUACUGGGGAGGCUGAGGCUGGAGAAUCACUUGAGCUCAUGAGUUCUGGGCUGCAGUGCGCUAUGCCGAUCGGGUGUCCGCACUAAGUUCGGCAUUAAUAUGGUGACCUCCCGGGAGCAGGGGACCACCAGGUUGCCUAAGGAGGGGUGAACCAGCCCAGGUCAGAAACGGAGCAGGUCAAAACUCCCGUGCUGAUCAGUAGUGGGAUCGCGCCUGUGAAUAGCCACUGUACUCCAGCCUGGGCAACAUAGCGAGACCCUGUCUCU